RNAcentral lists this ribosomal RNA (460 nucleotides) under uncultured bacterium. RNAcentral describes it as "partial 16S ribosomal RNA". It matches the Rfam family "Bacterial small subunit ribosomal RNA", at positions 338 to 795 of the family's 1533-position model. The record is from RNAcentral.
CCUACGGGAGGCUGCAGUGAGGAAUAUUGGUCAAUGGACGAGAGUCUGAACCAGCCAAGUAGCGUGAAGGAUGACUGCCCUAUGGGUUGUAAACCUCUUUUAUAUGGGAAUAAAACGUUCCACGUGUGGGAUUUUGUAUGUACCAUAUGAAUAAGGAUCGGCUAACUCCGUGCCAGCAGCCGCGGUAAUACGGAGGAUCCGAGCGUUAUCCGGAUUUAUUGGGUUUAAAGGGAGCGUAGGUGGAUUGUUAAGUCAGUUGUGAAAGUUUGCGGCUCAACCGUAAAAUUGCAGUUGAAACUGGCAGUCUUGAGUACAGUAGAGGUGGGCGGAAUGCGUGGUGUAGCGGUGAAAUGCUUAGAUAUCACGAAGAACUCCGAUUGCGAAGGCAGUUCACUGGACUGCAACUGACACUGAGGCUCGAAAGUGUGGGUAUCAAACAGGAUUAGAUACCCUUGUAGUC